RNAcentral lists this unclassified non-coding RNA (344 nucleotides) under soil metagenome. Its description in RNAcentral is "partial contains 5.8S ribosomal RNA, internal transcribed spacer 2, and large subunit ribosomal RNA". The stretch from base 1 to 120 matches the Rfam family "5.8S ribosomal RNA", at positions 35 to 154 of the family's 154-position model. The record is from RNAcentral.
GAUGAAGAACUUAGUGAAAUGCGAUACGUAAUGUGAAUUGCAGAAUUCAGUGAAUCAUCGAGUCUUUGAACGCACAUUGCGCCCCCUGGUAUUCCGGGGGGCAUGCCUGUCCGAGCGUCAUUGCUGCCCUCAAGCACGGCUUGUGUGUUGGGCCUCCGUCCUCCUCCCGGGGGACGGGCCCGAAAGGCAGCGGCGGCACCGCGUCCGGUCCUCGAGCGUAUGGGGCUUCGUCACCCGCUCUUGUAGGCCCGGCCGGCGCUUGCCGACACAUCAAUCUUUUUUCCAGGUUGACCUCGGAUCAGGUAGGGAUACCCGCUGAACUUAAGCAUAUCAUAAGCGGAGGA